UGUGUUCUCUCACCUGAGGGGGGUGGUGUUCUGUCCUUUCUGUCACACCUACCUGUCUGCCACGAUCCAUUGUAGACACCUGAACAUUCGUCUCUAUGCCGGGUGUCUUUCAGAAGUCCUCUGGCUACCUUUACACAGGCAGCCCAGUUCUGAUCUUUUGCCACCUAAUUGAUAUUUUGCCAAUUAUUGGGUAAAAGAUAAGAACUGGACUGCCAGCGUAAAAGGACAUAACGUAAUGCCCUACCGCAGUAUGACGUGGAGAAAAGUCUACACAUCAUUGCCUUGCCAUUCCACCAAAAUACAUGGAAUGCCCAUCGGAGGGACUACGGUCUGGGAUGGUUAUAGAAGGUCUGGGAUGGUUAUAGAAGGUCUACAGGGAUCUAUAUGUGAUCCGAUAGGGUCUAAGUGGAUAUAAGGUCUGGGAUGGUUAUAGAAGGUCUACAGGGAUCUAUAUGUGAUCCGAUAGGGUCUCAGUGGAUAUAAGGUCUGGGAUGGUUAUAGAAGGUCUACAGGGAUCUAUAUGUGAUCCGAUAGGGUCUAAGUGGAUAUAAGGUCUACAGGGAUCUAUAUGUGAUCCGAUAGGGUCUAAGUGGAUAUAAGGUCUACAGGGAUCUAUAUGUGAUCCGAUAGGGUCUAAGUGGAUAUAAGGUCUGGGAUGGUUAUAGAAGGUCUACAGGGAUCUAUCUAUAUGUGAUCCGAUAGGGUCUCAGUAGAUAUAAGGUCUGGGAUGGUUAUAGAAGAUCUACAGGAAUCUAUAUGUGAUCCGAUAGGGUCUCAGUGGAUAUAAGGUCUGGGAUGGUUAUAGAAGAUCUACAGGAAUCUAUAUGUGAUCCGAUAGGGUCUCAGUAGAUAUAAGGUCUGGGAUGGUUAUAGAAGAUCUACAGGAAUCUAUAUGUGAUCCGAUAGGGUCUCAGUAGAUAUAAGGUCUGGGAUGGUUAUAGAAGAUCUACAGGAAUCUAUAUGUGAUCCGAUAGGGUCUCAGUGGAUAUAAGGUCUGCAUGACACUAUACACUUGGGACACUUAUUAACAUGUUUCCAUAUAAUCAUAUUGGUGUGUGUUAUUGUGUAAGUGUGUGUGGUGUGUGUGUCUUAGUGUGUAAGAGGUGCCCCGGUUUAGGCUAUACUGCUGUGCUAGCCAAGGGAUUUUUAGGUUGUAUAAGCAAUAUUAAAUAUGGACUGUUGUUUUUUUUGGUGUGUAUUUUUGGAAGUGGCAGGGAGGAGGGAACGGAGAGGCGUAUUGCUUCUUAUUUCUCCCAUAUAUACACAUAUUGAUGAUGUAACAGCAGUAAAUUAUUUAUCCUAAA
Molecule: long non-coding RNA, 1304 nt
Organism: Oncorhynchus tshawytscha (Chinook salmon)
Lineage: Eukaryota; Metazoa; Chordata; Actinopteri; Salmoniformes; Salmonidae
Exons: 2
Source: RefSeq, a predicted model, not a curated record